GCCGCCAUCCCAUCUGGAAAGUGAGGAGCGUCUCUGCCCGGCCGCCCAUCGUCUGAGAUGUGGGGAGCGCCUCUGCCCCGCCGCCCCGUCUGGGAUGUGAGGAGCGCCUCGGCCCGGCCGUGACCCCAUCUGGGAGGUGAGGAUCGUCUCUGCCCGGCCGCCCCGUCUGAGAAGUGAGGAGCCCCUCCGCCCGGCAACUGCCCCAUCUGAGAAAGAGAAUGCGUCCAGCUUUUUCCUGUUCGGUAUGAUGUUGGCUGAGGAUUUGUCAUAGAUGCCUCUUAUUAUUUUGAGGUAUGUUUCUUGAAUGCCUGGUUUUUUGCGAAUAUGUUCAUCAGUCAAUAUUUAAUUUUCUUGAAUGCUAUUUCUGCAUAUAUUGUGAUAUAUACUUUUUUGCUUAAAAUUACCUUCACAUGGUGAAUUACACUUAUUGACUUGCAUAUUAUGAAACAUUAUUGCAUUCAUAGAAUAAAGCUCAUAUGACUGUGGCAAAGUAACUUUAUUUGCUUAUGAACUCAGCUUCCUAGUAUUUCAUGGAGGAUUUUUGUUUCUAUGUUCACCAGGAAUAUAGGCCUGUAGUUGUUUUUGUUGUUCUGUCUUCACUAGAUUUUGAGAGCAACAUGAUACUAAUUUUAUGUAAUAAGUUAGGGUGGAAUCCCACCAUGAUUUUUUU
Molecule: long non-coding RNA, 670 nt
Filed under: Homo sapiens (human)
Lineage: Eukaryota; Metazoa; Chordata; Mammalia; Primates; Hominidae
Description: HSALNT0257357
Source: RNAcentral